AAAAAAAAAAAAGCCUGUUGCAUUUCAUUUUUUUAUCCCAUCCCAUUAUAGAAACAAAAACUGCAGUUGGCUUCAGUCAGUGUGCUAAAUAAAACUUGGCAUAUAAAUAUUACAAGAUAAUCAGUUUCACUUUUUUAAUUUUCAAAGUCUACGGCUAUGGGAGUUCAUUUCCAAAAGGUAAGUGAGGAAUGGGAAAUGAAGAGCCAAUCGAUCUUUAAUUAUCCAUUAUCACUAAAUUCUUUCCAUAUCUAUUUUAGAUAUUUUGGUAGAGGUACGGCAAAGGGAAUAUGUGGGUUAAUAUUGCUCUUUUUUUUUCUUUUAUAUUGUAAGCUUGUUUGGACUCUCUAUCUACUAAUCUAUUAUGUCAGUCAUGUUUAGUUAAAAUUAAGUGUUUGUCUUAUUUUGGCGCUAUAUAAAUAAUUGUCAUUUUCUUAUUUAUAAUCACUUAAGGAAAGCAUUAUUUUUCAAUUCUUUAUUUAUUUUGAGGAACCAACAAAAUACGCAUUAAAAAAUGAAAAAAAACAUUAAAUUGACAUAUGUACGCAUAUUCUCUAGUACCCGAGAGCUUUAUCAUCCAGCAGUCCUCGAGUUUAUCCUUAAAAAAAACAAAAAACACAGAGACAGAAAAAAAAAUGAUUAUAAUAAUAAACACAACAUAAAUAAGUAAAUACAUUUUACCAUGGCUUACAUAUAUAUAUACCUUCACUCAUAUCCCAUUUUUCAUAUAAGCCUUCCAUGGAUUCCAAAAAUAAAAUAAGUUUAUUGUAUUGUUAUACAGUCAGAGGAGAGAAAAGCCAAAGACAAAUACCAGAACGUACAUGCGCAUUGAUAUUGGGAGGAUGGCACGAAAAAUGCAUAAUAUUUUUGGUGAAUGGAUCUUCAGCUCACGGGUGUUUCAGUAUAGCACCCAGCUUCUGAUCCAAGAAUGAUGCGGAGUCUGAUGGACAUUGCAGGAAAAUAAAGGUAUUUAUAGGGUUUGGCAGCGCCCAGCAUCAAAAUUGACUCCACAAUGAUGCUGGGUCAGACGGAUGGCACAGAACUAAACAGAUACUGUUACAGUGAGAAUAUAAUCUGUACAGAGGUGAGAAUGAUUUCAGGGAUUCCAAUACUAUAGUGUAAUAGUAAUUAAAUGCAUGACAUUCAAAAGCAACUGACUGAGUAGGUUAAACAUGAUUAGGAAACAUAGUGGAAGGACAAGUUGCCCAAGGUGCAAAAGAAAUUAAAUAAAUUCUUAAGCGAUUGGCUUCACUGAAGAAAAUGUAGUUUUCAUGACCUGUGUGACGAAGUGCCCUUCGCCACUUGUGCCUGGAGAGGACUGCUUGCCAGCCUCCUGCCAUGUGACUAUGGCCCCUGGGAUGUAUUGCCCUUUAAAGACAUGAUUUGGGCAUAAUGGAUUUGUGUUGUGCUGCUGCUGGCCCUUUAAGAACCAUCUGGGGACAUACUGUAGAGUUACUGGGUGGCCACCAUUUCCUGUAUCAGAAGCACAUGGUGAGAACAAUGGAUGGCGGCCAUUUUAACUCACAGACACUGUUUGGACUUUUCAACACGGUGCCAUCUCGCCAGUAUUUGUUAUACAGAGACAUCGUGCGGUGGUUUUGGACUAUACAGCAGGGGACACAUUAUACAGUGAUUGUUUUUCAUUUAGCCUGUAUAUGUUCUGCAGAAUCUGCAUUAAACUGUAUUUUCCAAAGUACCCCACUUUUUAUGGGGUUAUUGCAUGUUUUGGGGUCCCUGUGAUGUAUAUUUUAGAAGUUAUGAAUGCUGUAAAAAUUGUAAUGUUUCUGGCCAGCAGAUAAUUGAGCUUUGUGUAUUGUAGAAACUCAAUUAUCUAGCCUGGCUCAGAGGAGGAGUUUUGUGUUGCAUAAAUUGUGAGUUCUGUGUGCCAGUAAAUCAGUCUUGUUCCAGCAUUAAGCCUUGGCUCAUGUUUGGGGGAUUGGAGAAAUACACUCUGGGGAUUGCUAUAAUCACUAUACUCCCCAGGGUAUGAUCACUAAGUUCUGCUAAGAGCUUGUUCCUGCUCUCUGGGGAAAGAGAGGUUCACCCACUGGAAGCUGGAUCCUGGCCUUGGGUCCAGGGUGGGUGGAGACAGCAGAGACCCCAGCGCAGCUGCAUCGCUGGAAGUGGGGUCUGCAGUGCUGAUGGUGUCGGUUGGAGUGCUUGGAGUCCUCGGCAAGCGCUAGGAGCAUCGAUUGGCGGAGGUACUCAGUCGGAGUGCCAGCGGUCCGUCACAACCCUAUAUUCUCUUAAUGAACUAGAGACCAGGGGAAUUCAUGAUGGGGUGAGGAAGGACAUAUGUUAUGGAUAUGGCUACCAUAAAGUAGUUCUGAAGGUAAGUUGGGUGAUGGAGUGAGAAACCACAAGCUUGUGUGCGUCAUUUGCAAGACAUGAUGAUGCUGGAGGGCGCGCCACACCGAAACAGGGUGGGUGUUCCUUCCUAUAUUGUCAUGGGCCAUUAAGCCACUGUAUCAAGAUUGCGUCAUCGUGCCUGUACGUGAUUAUGCCGGAGGAAUGGUAUAAAUUUGAAUGCAUCUCUCCAUUAUGCCAGGAUCUUUGAAAAAAUAGAGUCAUCCCGAGCACCCAGCCUCAGUCUGGACCCUCACAAGAAUCCCCUGGAAGAAAAGCACAUCUUAAAACUAUUUCAGAGAUCUGCUGAAUCUAGGAGGUUAACACAUUCAUCUCAACUCUAAAACAGUUAUGGUUCCCACAUAUGGGGUGAGAUCAAUGCUAUCACAAUUCUCUGUUGUUUUUGAUUAUAACUAAAGGACUAUAUUUGUGACUUUAGAACUUUUCAAGAAGUUCUCUUGAUACAUUCUCUAAAUAAGAUUUAAUUUUAUUAUUUAUUUAACUCUUUUUUUGGGGGGGGGACAAACUCAUGCUAGUGACUUAAAUGCUGGUGACUUCAUAUAAUGCUGCAAUUAUUAUGAAGCAUGUAACUUGUUUUUGCAAGCUGGCAAUAUCUAUUGCUUGUUACCACAGCUUUCUUAUUUUUCAUUUUUAUUUUUUUGGAUUUUUUAUUGUCUAAUUUUUUUCAUUAUCUGGAAUAUAACUUUAAGAACUAAUUCAAGAGAAUAAGGAUGUUCAAAUGACAUACAAUAUGUAGGAACACCUUUACAGUGAAUCUACCUUCAAGAAGGGGACUCUCAUAUAGGAUUCAAUAGCAAUGCUCUGUUGAUGCUGUUCUGUAAUAUGAAUUGCUUUUAUACUAUGUACCUAACUAUAUGUGUUCUAUGCAGUUUACUUUACAUAUACAUUGAUCCAUGAGGAUCCAUAUUUUGGGGGUUUUCAGCAUUCUCAUUCCUAAAAAUAUUUUUAAUGUUUUAAAAUGUUUAAAAAAUGUUUACACACCACGUAUCUUGGUGAUGGAUCCACAUAUCGUGGCCUUUAAAUGAUUAGCCUGUAAUUUACAUGUGUUUUGUUUGGGAAAGCAAGAGCUCAGGCUGAGGCAUGGAGCUCAGAGAUGGAGCAUAACUGACAUAGUGUAAGGAAGUGUUUGUGUCUCAAAGUGAGAGAGUGAGUAUGACUAAAGAAUAGUAUAAAAGAAUAGACAAAUUGAUAGGGAGAGGAGAUGGGAGUGAGGGAGUGGGAGAUACAGUCCAGCUCAAUACACUUUACCACCAGUGUUUAUCUCCUUCUCCAACAGACAUCUGGACCAACUGGUUCAGAAUCAGAGGAUGAUUGUCAAUGCAUAUUGGAUACAUACACCAGCAAGCCUCAAUUACUCAAUGAAGAAACCUGGUGAGAAGAAUAAAUGAUGUGACCAGCAUGAGAUUUACUGACACACCUAGCCAGCAGUGUUCAGGACUUCAUCCACUAACACAAGCUACAGACUUUAUGACAGGGUUCCACUUACUGCAGUCCAUCAAUCAUAACAUAUUCUGAGACAGCCACUAAUGUCCAGUCUGUAGUUUGAAAGACUAUAGACUGUGGGCCAUGGCCUAAGACCCAUCCCUGCCCCUUCUGCCAAAGCAGUAUAUCUCACAGAUGCUCCAAAUAAAAUUGUUUAUUAAAGACUUAGUUCUCUGUGUGAUUGAUAUACUUAUUCGCUUAAUCAGUUAUGCACAUGGUAUUAUAUUUGCUUUUUUAGAUUUUUCUUGCUUCAAUCUCACAUAACCCUCAAAUAUUGAUGUGAUCCUUAAGGUCACUCUAUUAUUAUAGCAAGUACCUAUUUUGUGCUUUUGUAGACAGUGGGAGUUUGUAUUACAAUUGUUUAUAGAGCGCAAAAAUAUUCCACUGUGCUGCACAAUACAAAAACCAAGACAAUUCAUUCUGACAAGUUUCACAUACGGGACCGAUAGAUGAAGAGAGCCCUGCCCAAAAGAGCAUAACAAGCAACAGGAAAGGUAGUUGUCAUAAAUAACAUGCAUGCAGACAUUAAUAAGAUUUUAUUUUUUAUGCUAUAAUGCUAUUAACCAUUUUGGUAAUAACACAUGGUUUUCCAUCAUUAAUAUUACACACACCAACUUCCUUAAUGAAAUACUCAUGGGUUUAAUUUGUUAGGGCCCACGGCCAGGGCAGGCAAAGGGUAAUGAUCCAUGUUUUGUAAAACUACACCUCUCAUAAUUCUCAAAACUACACCUCUCAUGAUGUGAAAAGCAUAAUGGAAGGCCUGUUUGACAAAAAAAAAAGAGCUGACCACUUUAGUCCAUGUGGUAUAGUGACCGAUACAGUGAAACUGACUUAAUAAACUACUAUGCAAUUUAUGUAAUGAGUGUUUUAAUAAAUUUUUUUAAAAAUAUUACUUUUAACAUGGUGAAAUUGAUAACAUUUUCACGUGAUGAUUAUUUAAGAAUAGCCUGCACCAAUCCCAUGCAUUUAUGUAAUAAUCUGGACCAAAUGCAUUUAUUUUCCGCAUACCUUAUCGCAGACAUCUCAGUGGCAACAUUUUUUUCAUCUACAAUAGCUAGGAUAAAAAAAAAAAAUAUUGAUUAACGAAUAAUUAUUUUAUGCCAACAAGGAUUUUAGUGAAGGAAAUAACAUUUUGUUACAUUCUUUAGAGUAAAUUAUGUUACAUUCAGUCAAGUAAACUUGUGGGUUUAUUCACUUAACAAUUAACUAUAGCCAAUUAAAUUCUAAAAUGUAAGUAAUAAUUAUAUGACUAUGGUUGACUUAUAGGAAUUUUGUGAAUCAGUUACUUCUUCAAAUUGUACUGAAUAAAAAUCUGAGCCACAAGAUUUUGGCCAAAUUGGGUAAACUUAGGUAAAAUUAUAUUAUUCAGUAAUUGUCACACCUCAGCUGUGUUAGCUUGAAUGUUGCCAUUCACAUUUUAUUCACUACAGUUCAGUGAGUUUGGUGAACAACCCUGUAAGCACUUUAUCAAAGUAUAUUCAUUCCAUAGCCUGCAGUGCUUAGAGUUCCCUGUCACUUUGUCUCAGCGUGGUUUAUAACUCAUAUUUGCAAACAUCACUUCAAAUCCUACUCACUUCAAAGGGGGAAAUGUACCUCCACAUUGGCCACAUUGGCCUUCCAAGAUGUUUGCAGUCUUUGCAUACCAUGCAUUUCAAUCCUCUCCCCAGAGACCGUGAACUGUGACCAUAGACAUUGCUGGAGUUAGGGGGUAUUGAGGGCUGAGGCCCCGGAUGUGGGACUCAACAGCCUCAGAUCUCUACAGGUAGUGGAGGGUCAAAGAACCCAUUUUAAAAUUUUGCUCAAAGCAGUUAUAGCUAGUGCUAUAGCGCUAGGCUACCAAGGGAGGGGGUUCUGAGGAAUAAAACUUUGCUGCACGCCCCUCUAUUAGUUAGGGAGUAUGGCAAGACCGCACUAGAUACCAUGCUGUGCAGCGUGUGCUUGUUUUCAGCUAUGACUUAAUUGAUAUCCUGAGAGCAUAAGCAGCCCGCUGUUCAUGGGUCUACUGAAGAAACUGUAAUUUGCUGGAAAUUCCACUUUAUUCUUAUAGAGCAUUUGUGUUAAUGUUUCAAUAUAAAAGACACAAUUUCACACAAUGUCAUUUUCUUUAUGUGCAGGUAAAUAAAGAAUACUUUGAUAUCCUGGAUUUGACAAAUUAUUCUAACAACAGUGUGAAAGAGUUUAUCAUCUCUGGAUUCCCAAGGCUUCAAAGAUUUUCGCUUUUGCUCUUUUUCAUAUUUAUGGUAAUUUAUCUUUUCACAAUAACUGGCAAUGGCCUCAUAUUCUUCUUUAUUAAUCUCGAUCGAAAGUUACAGACCCCUAUGUAUUUUUUUGUCAGCAAUUUAUCUUUCUUGGAUAUGAGUUACACCUCAGUUACCAUACCCAGGAUGUUAGUUAAGUUCUCGAUUGGCUUUGAAAUUAUUUCCUACUCUGG
RNAcentral lists this long non-coding RNA (6277 nucleotides) under Pelobates cultripes (western spadefoot toad). Lineage: Eukaryota; Metazoa; Chordata; Amphibia; Anura; Pelobatidae. The record is from RNAcentral.